This 1346-nucleotide ribosomal RNA is filed under the name Staphylococcus epidermidis. RNAcentral's name for it is "bacterial SSU rRNA". It matches the Rfam family "Bacterial small subunit ribosomal RNA", at positions 67 to 1442 of the family's 1533-position model. The record is from RNAcentral. Lineage: Bacteria; Bacillati; Bacillota; Bacilli; Caryophanales; Staphylococcaceae.
GCGCACUGCUCCUUGGAGCAGAGCAGACGAGGCAGCUGUGCUCCCUCUGACGUUAGCGGCGGGGAAACCGGAGCUAAUACCGGAUAAUAUAUUGAACCGCAUGGUUCAAUAGUGAAAGACGGUUUUGCUGUCACUUAUAGAUGGAUCCGCGCCGCACUUACCAAGGCAACGAUGCGUAGCCGACCUGAGAGGGUGAUCGGCCACACUGGAACUGAGACACGGUCCAGACUCCUACGGGGAGGAAACAAUAGGGAAUCUUCCGCAAUGGGCGAAAGCCUGACGGAGCAACGCCGCGUGAGUGAUGAAGGUCUUCGGAUCGUAAAACUCUGUUAUUAGGGAAGAACAAAUGUGUAAGUAACUAUGCACGUCUUGACGGUACCUAAUCAGAAAGCCACGGCUAACUACGUGCCAGCAGCCGCGGUAAUACGUAGGUGGCAAGCGUUAUCCGGAAUUAUUGGGCGUAAAGCGCGCGUAGGCGGUUUUUUAAGUCUGAUGUGAAAGCCCACGGCUCAACCGUGGAGGGUCAUUGGAAACUGGAAAACUUGAGUGCAGAAGAGGAAAGUGGAAUUCCAUGUGUAGCGGUGAAAUGCGCAGAGAUAUGGAGGAACACCAGUGGCGAAGGCGACUUUCUGGUCUGUAACUGACGCUGAUGUGCGAAAGCGUGGGGAUCAAACAGGAUUAGAUACCCUGGUAGUCCACGCCGUAAACGAUGAGUGCUAAGUGUUAGGGGGUUUCCGCCCCUUAGUGCUGCAGCUAACGCAUUAAGCACUCCGCCUGGGGAGUACGACCGCAAGGUUGAAACUCAAAGGAAUUGACGGGGACCCCCACAAGCGGUGGAGCAUGUGGUUUAAUUCGAAGCAACGCGAAGAACAUAACCAAAUCUUGACAUCCGCUGACCCCUCUACGAGAUAUGAGUUUUCACCUUCCGCGGACAGAAGUGACAGGUGGUGCAUGGUUGCCGGUCAGCUCCUGUCCCUAAAAGGCUGGGUUAAGUCCCGCAACGACCCCAACCAUUAAGCUUAGUUGCCAUCAUUAAGUUGGGCACUCUAAGUUGACUGCCGGUGACAAACCGGAGGAAGGUGGGGAUGACGUCAAAUCAUCAUGCCCCUUAUGAUUUGGGCUACACACGUGCUACAAUGGACAAUACAAAGGGCAGCGAAACCGCGAGGUCAAGCAAAUCCCAUAAAGUUGUUCUCAGUUCGGAUUGUAGUCUGCAACUCGACUAUAUGAAGCUGGAAUCGCUAGUAAUCGUAGAUCAGCAUGCUACGGUGAAUACGUUCCCGGGUCUUGUACACACCGCCCGUCACACCACGAGAGUUAUCACUCCCGUUGCCCGUGAUCACCAU